RNAcentral lists this ribosomal RNA (409 nucleotides) under Jesogammarus bousfieldi. Its description in RNAcentral is "partial 16S ribosomal RNA". Lineage: Eukaryota; Metazoa; Arthropoda; Malacostraca; Amphipoda; Anisogammaridae. The record is from RNAcentral.
GUAGCGUAAUCAUUUGGUUUUUAAUAGAGAUCUGGAAUGAAGGGUAAAACAAAUAUUAGUUUCUUGCCCGUAAAGGGUGAAUUUAAGAUUAGAGUAAAAACGCUCUAAUUUUUUGUGGGACGAUAAGACCCUAAAAGCUUUAUUUUAAAUAUUGGUAUAUUUUUAGGACGCGGCAUAGCUGGAAAUUGGUUGGGGUAAUGGCUCUAAAUGUAUUAGGGUAUAUUUUUAUAGUGUGUCUAAAUAGACAUCCUUAUAAUUAGGACAAUAAUUGUAGUUACUUUAGGGGUAACAGGGUAAUUACUUUAUAGAGAUCUUAUUUAUAGCGUAGAUUGCCACCUCGAUGUUGAAUUAAAAUAUCGGCGAGACGAAAAAAGUUCGUUUUGAGGGUUUGUUCAACCUUUAAUUUUUU